AAGCAAUCCCUGAGUACAGUGGCGACCGGGUGAGUAACACGUGACUACCUACCCUUGAGUGGGGGAUAACCUCGGGAAACCGAGGCUAAUACCGCAUAACAUCGCAAGAUCAAAGGAGAAAUCCGCUUUUGGAGGGGGUCGCGGCUGAUUAGCUAGUUGGCGGGGUAACGGCCCACCAAGGCGAAGAUCGGUAGCCGGCCUGAGAGGGCGCACGGCCACACUGGAACUGAAACACGGUCCAG
RNAcentral lists this ribosomal RNA (242 nucleotides) under uncultured bacterium. Its description in RNAcentral is "partial 16S ribosomal RNA". It matches the Rfam family "Bacterial small subunit ribosomal RNA", at positions 77 to 334 of the family's 1533-position model. The record is from RNAcentral.